Molecule: ribosomal RNA, 241 nt
Filed under: uncultured bacterium
Lineage: Bacteria
Description: partial small subunit ribosomal RNA
Rfam family: Bacterial small subunit ribosomal RNA
Source: RNAcentral
AGAAUCAACGCUGGCGGCGUGCCUAACACAUGCAAGUCGAACGAGAAAGUGGAGCAAUCCAUGAGUAAAGUGGCGCACGGUGAGUAACACGUGACUAACCUACCCUUGAGUGGGGGAUAACCUAGAGAAAUCUGGCUAAUACCGCAUAAUACCUUCGGGUCAAAGGAGCAAUUCGCUUAAGGAGGGGUCGCGGCCGAUUAGUUAGUUGGCGGGUAAUGGCCCACCAAGACUGUGAUCGGUA